GACAAAGUCUAGGGGUAUGAUUCUCGCUUGGGGUGCGAGAGUUCCCGGGUUCAGCUCCCGGACG
Non-coding RNA from Gymnothorax javanicus (giant moray), 64 nucleotides. The record is from the annotation of a GenBank genome assembly. NCBI's taxonomy places the organism in Eukaryota, Metazoa, Chordata, Actinopteri, Anguilliformes, Muraenidae.